Molecule: transfer RNA, 72 nt
Filed under: Sphaerodactylus townsendi
Lineage: Eukaryota; Metazoa; Chordata; Lepidosauria; Squamata; Sphaerodactylidae
Description: tRNA-Met
Source: RNAcentral
GGGGCUGUGGCUCAGCUGUAGAGCACGUGCUUCAUACGUAGAAGGUGACAGGUUCAGUCCCUGGCUGUGCCA